UGGUAGUGUAUUGGACAACCAUGGCUUUCACGGGUAACGGAGGAUUAGGGUUCGAUUCCGGAGAGGGAGCCUGAGAAACGGCUACCACAUCUAAGGAAGGCAGCAGGCGCGUAAAUUACCCAAUCCUGAUUCAGGGAGGUAGUGACAAGAAAUAACAACUCGGGGGCUUUUGCCUUACGAGAUUGCAAUGAGAACAAUCUAAUAGACAUUAACGAGGAACAAUUGGAGGGCAAGUCUGGUGCCAGCAGCCGCGGUAAUUCCAGCUCCAAUAGCGUAUAUUAAAGUUGUUGCAGUUAAAAAGCUCGUAGUUGAACUUCUGUUAGAGAGCUGAAUGGCUUCGGCCAAUCAUGUUCUCUAGCAUCCGUCAGAAAACCCAGACCGGCCUUAACUGGUCGCCUGGGCGAUCUGACACUUUACUUUGAAAAAAUAAGAGUGUUCAAGGCAGGCUUUCGCUCUGAAUACACAAGCAUGGAAUAAUGGAAUAGGACUGGCGUCCAUUUUGUUGGUUAUUGGACAUCAGUAAUGAUUAAAAGGGACAGUUGGGGGCAUUAGUAUUUAAUUGUCAGAGGUGAAAUUCUUGGAUUUAUUAAAGACUAACUUAUGCGAAAGCAUUUGCCAAGGAUGU
RNAcentral lists this ribosomal RNA (625 nucleotides) under uncultured marine ciliate. RNAcentral's name for it is "SSU rRNA". It matches the Rfam family "Eukaryotic small subunit ribosomal RNA", at positions 326 to 967 of the family's 1831-position model. Lineage: Eukaryota; Ciliophora. The record is from RNAcentral.